This 498-nucleotide ribosomal RNA is filed under the name uncultured bacterium. RNAcentral's name for it is "partial 16S ribosomal RNA". It matches the Rfam family "Bacterial small subunit ribosomal RNA", at positions 30 to 523 of the family's 1533-position model. The record is from RNAcentral.
AUUGAACGCUGGCGGCAUGCCUUACACAUGCAAGUCGAACGGUAACGCGGGGCAACCUGGCGACGAGUGGCGAGCGGGUGAGUAAUAUAUCGGAACGUGCCCAGUAGUGGGGGAUAGCCCGGCGAAAGCCGGAUUAAUACCACAUACGACCCAAGGGUGAAAGCGGGGGAUCGCAAGACCUCGCGCUAUUGGAGCGGCCGAUAUCAGAUUAGCUAGUUGGUGGGGUAAAAGCCUACCAAGGCGACGAUCUGUAGCUGGUCUGAGAGGACGACCAGCCACACUGGGACUGAGACACGGCCCAGACUCCUACGGGAGGCAGCAGUGGGGAAUUUUGGACAAUGGACGCAAGUCUGAUCCAGCCAUGCCGCGUGCGGGAAGAAGGCCUUCGGGUUGUAAACCGCUUUUGUCAGGGAAGAAAUCCUUUGAGUUAAUACCUCGGAGGGAUGACGGUACCUGAAGAAUAAGCACCGGCUAACUACGUGCCAGCAGCCGCCGUAA